AUGGUGCAAGACAAUGAAAAUGAGUUAUUGGAGGCACGUUUCUGUGAAGAGGAAGUUAAAAAGGCAGUAUUUGACUCUUAUUUUGAUGGGGCCCCAGGCCUUGAUGGAAUACCCUUCUUUUUCUACCAACUAUUCUGGGAUCUGAUCAAACUUGACUUGUUGGCUAUGUUUGAAUAUUUCCACAAAGGAGAGCUAGAUAUCUAUAGACUUAAUUUUUCCAUGCUAGCCCUUAUUCCCAAGGAGGCUAAAACCACUUCUAUGAAGAAGUUCAUGCCUAUCAGUCUGCUCAACUGUAACUUUACUUUUUUUACUAAGAUACAAGACACGCCCGGAUCCCUGCUUCCCCGCGACUUUUUGAGUGGGUUCAAGAUCUCUGAUCACCCUGCCUGCUUCACGCCGAUUAAGAAGAGGGACCCAGAGGAUGAGAGUGUUGUGUCCAGUCUAGUGUCGACCUUGGACAAGUGCUGGUCUCAUCAAGUUGUGUUCGAGCCGCCGUUGAAGAAUAGAAGGUCUGGCUCGGAGAUCGCCUGA
RNAcentral lists this ribosomal RNA (531 nucleotides) under Triticum aestivum (bread wheat). Its description in RNAcentral is "partial small subunit ribosomal RNA". The record is from RNAcentral. Lineage: Eukaryota; Viridiplantae; Streptophyta; Magnoliopsida; Poales; Poaceae.